Molecule: ribosomal RNA, 466 nt
Filed under: uncultured bacterium
Lineage: Bacteria
Description: bacterial SSU rRNA
Rfam family: Bacterial small subunit ribosomal RNA
Source: RNAcentral
GACGAACGCUGGCGGCGUGCCUAACACAUGCAAGUCGAGCGAGGAGGAGAUAGCUUGCUAUCGAAUCCUAGCGGCGGACGGGUGAGUAACGCGUGAGCAAUCUGCCUUUUACAGGGGGAUAACGCAUCGAAAGAUGUGCUAAUACCGCGUAAGACCACAGUACCGCAUGGUACAGGGGUCAAAGGAGCAAUCCGGUAAAAGAUGAGCUCGCGUCCGAUUAGCUAGUUGGUGAGAUAACAGCCCACCAAGGCGACGAUCGGUAGCCGACCUGAGAGGGUGAUCGGCCACAUUGGAACUGAGACACGGUCCAGACUCCUACGGGAGGCAGCAGUGGGGAAUAUUGGGCAAUGGGCGAAAGCCUGACCCAGCAACGCCGCGUGAGGGAAGAAGGGUUUCGGCUCGGUAAACCUCUAUCAGCAGGGAGAAAAUGACGGUACCUGACUAAGAAGCCCCGGCUAACUACGUG